ACAGUCUGAAAAUUACCUUGGAUGAGUCAGUUGUCUUUGGUAAGAUAACUGUGCCAACAGGAAGCUGGUACAAACUUCUCCGACACUUGUGUAGUGGAGUGUUGAAAGCCGCGUACCUACAGUU
Molecule: small nucleolar RNA, 124 nt
Organism: Scleropages formosus (Asian bonytongue)
Lineage: Eukaryota; Metazoa; Chordata; Actinopteri; Osteoglossiformes; Osteoglossidae
Product: small nucleolar RNA ACA64
Source: Ensembl